This 500-nucleotide ribosomal RNA is filed under the name uncultured bacterium. RNAcentral describes it as "partial 16S ribosomal RNA". It matches the Rfam family "Bacterial small subunit ribosomal RNA", at positions 30 to 523 of the family's 1533-position model. The record is from RNAcentral.
AUUGAACGCCGGCGGCAGGCUUAACACAUGCAAGUCGAGCGGAUGACGGGAGCUUGCUCCUUGAUUCAGCGGCGGACGGGUGAGUAAUGCCUAGGAAUCUGCCUGGUAGUGGGGGACAACGUUUCGAAAGGAACGCUAAUACCGCAUACGUCCUACGAGAGAAAGCAGGGGACCUUCGGGCCUUGCGCUAUCAGAUGAGCCUAGGUCGGAUUAGCUAGUAGGUGAGGUAAUGGCUCACCUAGGCGACGAUCCGUAACUGGUCUGAGAGGAUGAUCAGUCACACUGGAACUGAGACACGGUCCAGACUCCUACGGGAGGCAGCAGUGGGGAACAUUGGACAAUGGGCGAAAGCCUGAUCCAGCCAUGCCGCGUGUGUGAAGAAGGUCUUCGGAUUGUAAAGCACUUUAAGUUGGGAGGAAGGGCAGUAAGUUAAUACCUUGCUGUUUUGACGUUACCGACAGAAUAAGCACCGGCUGACUCUGUGCCAGCCGCCGCAGUAA